Molecule: ribosomal RNA, 546 nt
Filed under: Equulites sp. MPD-2011
Lineage: Eukaryota; Metazoa; Chordata; Actinopteri; Chaetodontiformes; Leiognathidae
Description: partial 16S ribosomal RNA
Rfam family: Bacterial large subunit ribosomal RNA
Source: RNAcentral
UAAGAGGUCCCACCUGCCCAGUGACUAUAAGUUCAACGGCCGCGGUAUUUUGACCGUGCAAAGGUAGCACAAUCACUUGUCCUUUAAAUGGGGACCUGUAUGAAUGGUGUGACGAAGGCUAAGCUGUCUCCUCUUUCAAGUCAAUGAAAUUGAUCUCCCCGUGCAGAAGCGGGGAUACCAACAUAAGACGAGAAGACCCUAUGGAGCUUUAGACACCAGAACAGCCCACGUUAAAUAACCCUCGACACAAGCAAAACUAAAUGGAACCUGUCCAAAUGUCUUUGGUUGGGGCGACCGCGUGACAUCAAAAAACCCCCGCGUGGAACAGAAACAAGCACCGUUUCUGAGACUUAAAGUUUCCACUAAAAGUCCCAGAAUAUCUGACCAAAAAUGAUCCGGCAUUUGCCGACCAACGAACCCAGUUACCCUAGGGAUAACAGCGCAAUCCUCUUCCAGAGCCCAUAUCGACAAGAGGGUUUACGACCUCGAUGUUGGAUCAGGGCAUCCUAAUGGUGCAGCCGCUAUUAAGGGUUCGUUUGUUCAACG